Non-coding RNA from Arvicanthis niloticus (Nile rat), 305 nucleotides. NCBI's taxonomy places the organism in Eukaryota, Metazoa, Chordata, Mammalia, Rodentia, Muridae. The record is from RefSeq and is a predicted model, not a curated record.
GCGAGCCGGGCUGGCGGGACGCGGGGGAGGCGUGCGGCACGGCGCGGGGAGCGGCCAGGUCCUUUCACGUAGAGGGCAUUUAUUGGGUCGAUGGCUGCAACACUGCAGAAGGUUGCAAAGGAAGUGGAAGAUCGGGCCUUUCCAAGAGUUACAAUCGAGCUAGCAACACAGGCAUGAGCUUUUAAAAUGCAGUUAGCUACCCAAGCCUGCUUCAGAGGAUAUUUUCAGCAUAUCUAGAGUAGAGCUGGGAUCCACAGUUAAAAUAAAAAUGACUUGGCUGCAAGAUGGCUCAGCCAGUAAAGGUG